GAUGAACGCUGGCUACAGGCUUAACACAUGCAAGUCGUGGGGAAACGGCAUUAUGUGCUUGCACAUUCUGGACGUCGACCGGCGCACGGGUGAGUAUCGCGUAUCCAACCUGCCCCUUACUUGGGGAUACCCCGUUGAAAGACGGCCUAAUACCCGAUGUGUUUCAUUGACGGCACCCGAUAUGAAACAAAGGUUUUUCCGGUAAGGGAUGGGGAUGCGUCUGAUUAGCUUGUUGGCGGGGCAACGGCCCACCAAGGCGACGAUCAGUAGGGGUUCUGAGAGGAAGGUCCCCCACAUUGGAACUGAGACACGGUCCAAACUCCUACGGGAGGCAGCAGUGAGGAAUAUUGGUCAAUGGACGCAAGUCUGAACCAGCCAAGUAGCGUGCAGGAUGACGGCCCUAUGGGUUGUAAACUGCUUUUAUGUGGGAAUAAAGUGGCGCACGUGUGCGCCAUUGCAUGU
This 462-nucleotide ribosomal RNA is filed under the name Prevotella nigrescens. RNAcentral describes it as "bacterial SSU rRNA". It matches the Rfam family "Bacterial small subunit ribosomal RNA", at positions 28 to 476 of the family's 1533-position model. The record is from RNAcentral. Lineage: Bacteria; Pseudomonadati; Bacteroidota; Bacteroidia; Bacteroidales; Prevotellaceae.